CCUCCUUUGGAGCUUUACAGCUAACCCAGAACAAGGGUCCCAGGUCAGUACAUCACUCUCACAGCCCUUCAAAAGACUGGUAGAACAUCACUAGUGAGAACAGCCCUCAUUUAAUGCUGGCAAUAAGCUAAGACAUCUCACUACUGAUCCACACAAAUGCAUCCUAAUCACAGGAGGUCAACCAGCCUGCCAACCUAGCUCUUCAGGUGAUUCAAAUGAAGACAUCGGAAGAAAAGAGAUAGUAAGCAGCUGGCCUACCUUACUCCUUUGUUGACUAUAAGAAUAUGUCCUUGUGCUGCUUCAGGCCCCUUCUGUGGAGAGCUGUGAUCCCAGGAUUGAAGACAAGAAAAAUCUGCUGCCUAAAGGGAAGGAGCAAUCUCUGAAUUGUGUGCCUGCAAGAGAGCAGACCGAUAGUCAAGAGCUCUGUACUAGUAAGUGCCCAGGAGUCUGCUGCCACUGCAGGGCAUUGCUGCCUGCUGUACACCUGGUUAAGGCUUGAACUGCUGCCUGCUACACCUCUGAAAAGGAAUGGAAACAAACUUGGCAGUGGCCAUCUCCAGUGGUGCUUGUGGGUUUGCUUUGUGUUUAAUGCAGGCUCAUAUCAUGAGACCAGAAUGCAGACAUUAUCAGAGACAGUGUAGAUACUACUGCAGUUAGAUCAGCUACUUUUUUCAAAUUUCUCUAAUGUUUUAUAUUCUGACACAUGAAAUCGGCUUUUAGUUGCUCCCCUGCAAGGUCUGUUUACCUCUGCCCAGGAGAGAGGAAAAAAUGGAGACUGGAGCCUCUAAAGUGGUCUGAUAUCAGUCUGAGCUGAGGGACACAAACACACAGCAGGGAUGGCAAAAGAAUGAUCCUGGUUUUGUUACACAGGAAGGAUACAAGAACUUAAAUUGUACAAUAUGUAUAAUGCACUAAGUCCAAUAUCUUAGCAUCUGUAUUCAACAUCAUAACUGGAAUCUGUAAGAAAACUUAACAAUUGGAUUUAAAAUGAAUCCAUACCUCUGAAGUCACAUACAUACAAUCUACAUACCUUAAUACAUAAAUAGGAAGACUGCAUUUUGCAUUUAGGAUUAUAAAUCGUUCACUUGGAAGUGCUAGAAGUUAGUGGCAGAUAGAAAGCAAAACAAAGUUCAGAAAAUGUAGGACUCCAGGAUUAAUAUGCUUUAAAAUAUACCUGCUGUAGACUCUUGAGUUCGGCGUAUAUUGUUCACAUGAAAUAUUUUUAGUGGAAUGGGACAUUCCUCAAGAUAGUGAGAAAAUGAGGCAGUCAUAAGUAUAGACCAGAAUUCUUGUAUACAGAAAUUAAAUGAACUCAGCAAGACUGUGCUACAACUAUGGCUACACAGUCAUUUUAACAGCACGUGCAUUUGUGAGAAAGAAAAUUAAAUCUGAAGUUCUGCAUCAUUACAGCAAAUUUUGAUGACAAAUAAAGCAUCAGA
Molecule: long non-coding RNA, 1439 nt
Organism: Lagopus leucura (white-tailed ptarmigan)
Lineage: Eukaryota; Metazoa; Chordata; Aves; Galliformes; Phasianidae
Exons: 3
Source: RefSeq, a predicted model, not a curated record